RNAcentral lists this long non-coding RNA (886 nucleotides) under Homo sapiens (human). RNAcentral describes it as "HSALNT0168235". The record is from RNAcentral. Lineage: Eukaryota; Metazoa; Chordata; Mammalia; Primates; Hominidae.
ACCUGUAGAUCCCGCCCGUAUCUACUGAAGAACUAAAGAACUGUGAACAAUCCAAUUGUCUUGGCUCAGCUGACAACACCUGGCAAGGUGGCAAGGUCCCAGAGGAGAAGGAGUCACAGGCUGUGUCAUACACACCAAAGCAAAGAAGAUCUUGGGCAGCUGUACAAGUGUCCCUCAGGGAGAGAGCCCUGUGUACCCAGAGGGCAUGGAAGCUUCAAGGAGAAUUCUUGAGCCAGUGGCUGUGAAAUGGGACAACCCAGCUGCAUCCUGCCUGAUGGUCCUCCCAAACCUGCAACUGCUGGGAGUGGGGUUAUCUCAGAGGCUAUCAGUGUGCGUACAUUAUGACCCUGGAGACACAUACAGUCUUAAGCAAAAAAGGCUGGGAAGCACUGAAUUGAGCAUGGUAGGGUUCAAAAUAGGAAGUUAACUUAUUUAUACCUCUUUUUAUUCUUUUAUUCUUUUUAAUUUUUGUGGGUACAUAUUAAGUGUAUAUAUUUAUGGAAUUCAUGAAAUAUUUUGAUAUAGGCAUAUAUAAUAGGUAAUAAUCCCAUCAGGGUAAAUCACAUCACCUCAUUUAUCCUUUCUUUUUUGUUACAAAUAAUCCAAUUAUACUCUUCUAGUUAUUUUUUAAAUGUACAAUAAAUUAUUGUUGACUAUGGUCACCCUGUUGUGUUAUCAAACACUAGAUAUUAUUUAUUCUAUCUAACUACAUUUUCAUACCCAUUAACAUCCCUACUUCCCCCCAACACACACACACCCUUUCCUGCCUCUGGUAACCAUCAUUCUACUCUUUAUCUUCAUGAGUCCAAUUGUUUUAAUUUUUGUUAGCUUCCACAAACAAGUGAGAACAUGCAAUGUUUAUCUUUCUGCACCUGGCUUAUUUCAC